RNAcentral lists this ribosomal RNA (425 nucleotides) under uncultured bacterium. RNAcentral describes it as "bacterial SSU rRNA". It matches the Rfam family "Bacterial small subunit ribosomal RNA", at positions 354 to 796 of the family's 1533-position model. The record is from RNAcentral.
GUGGGGAAUAUUGGACAAUGGGCGCAAGCCUGAUCCAGCCAUGCCGCGUGAGUGAUGAAGGUCUUAGGAUUGUAAAGCUCUUUCACCGGGGACGAUAAUGACGGUACCCGGAGAAGAAGCCCCGGCUAACUUCGUGCCAGCAGCCGCGGUAAUACGAAGGGGGCUAGCGUUGUUCGGAAUUACUGGGCGUAAAGCGCACGUAGGCGGAUAUUUAAGUCAGGGGUGAAAUCCCGGGGCUCAACCCCGGAACGGCCUUUGAUACUGGGUAUCUUGAGUGUGGUAGAGGUGAGUGGAAUUGCGAGUGUAGAGGUGAAAUUCGUAGAUAUUCGCAGGAACACCAGUGGCGAAGGCGGCUCACUGGACCACAACUGACGCUGAGGUGCGAAAGCGUGGGGAGCAAACAGGAUUAGAUACCCGUGUAGUCC